This 407-nucleotide ribosomal RNA is filed under the name uncultured bacterium. RNAcentral describes it as "bacterial SSU rRNA". It matches the Rfam family "Bacterial small subunit ribosomal RNA", at positions 505 to 918 of the family's 1533-position model. The record is from RNAcentral.
GUGUCAGCAGCCGCGGUAAUACGGAGGGUCCAAGCGUUAUCCGGAAUCAUUGGGUUUAAAGGGUCCGUAGGCGGGCUAAUAAGUCAGAGGUGAAAGUUUGCAGCUCAACUGUAAAAUUGCCUUUGAUACUGUUAGUCUUGAGUUAUAGUGAAGUGGUUAGAAUAAGUGGUGUAGCGGUGAAAUGCAUAGAUAUCACUUAGAAUACCGAUUGCGAAGGCAGAUCACUAACUGUAUACUGACGCUGAGGGACGAAAGCAUGGGUAGCGAACGGGAUUAGAUACCCCGGUAGUCCAUGCUGUAAACGAUGGAUACUAGCUGUUGGCUUCGGUCAGUGGCUAAGCGAAAGUGAUAAGUAUCCCACCUGGGGAGUACGUUCGCAAGAAUGAAACUUAAAUGAAUUGACGGGG